CGCGUAGGCGGUGGGGUAAGUCUGGUGUUAAAUACUUCGGCUCAACCGGAGGUAUGCGCUGGAAACUGUCUUGCUUGAGUGAUGGAGGGGGAGCUGGAAUUCCUGGUGUAGGGGUGAAAUCUGUAGAGAUCAGGAAGAACACCGGAGGCGAAGGCGAGCUCCUGGCCAUUAACUGACGCUGAGGCGCGAAAGCGUGGGGAGCGAACA
This 207-nucleotide ribosomal RNA is filed under the name uncultured bacterium. Its description in RNAcentral is "partial 16S ribosomal RNA". It matches the Rfam family "Bacterial small subunit ribosomal RNA", at positions 568 to 774 of the family's 1533-position model. The record is from RNAcentral.